RNAcentral lists this ribosomal RNA (292 nucleotides) under uncultured bacterium. RNAcentral's name for it is "partial 16S ribosomal RNA". It matches the Rfam family "Bacterial small subunit ribosomal RNA", at positions 505 to 796 of the family's 1533-position model. The record is from RNAcentral.
GUGUCAGCAGCCGCGGUAAGACGAACCGUGCGAACGUUGUUCGGAAUCACUGGGCUUAAAGGGCGCGUAGGCGGGCCGUCAAGUCUGUGGUGAAAUCCUCCAGCUUAACUGGAGAACUGCCGUGGAUACUGGCGGUCUCGAGGAUGGUAGGGGCGUGCGGAACAGUUGGUGGAGCGGUGAAAUGCGUUGAUAUCAACUGGAACUCCGGUGGCGAAGGCGGCACGCUGGACCAUGUCUGACGCUGAGGCGCGAAAGCCAGGGGAGCAAACGGGAUUAGAAACCCCCGUAGUCC